Molecule: unclassified non-coding RNA, 329 nt
Filed under: soil metagenome
Description: partial contains 5.8S ribosomal RNA, internal transcribed spacer 2, and large subunit ribosomal RNA
Rfam family: 5.8S ribosomal RNA (bases 1-120)
Source: RNAcentral
GAUGAAGAACGUAGCGAAAUGCGAUAAGUAGUGUGAAUUGCAGAAUUCAGUGAAUCAUCGAAUCUUUGAACGCACAUUGCGCCCCUUGGUAUUCCAUGGGGCAUGCCUGUUCGAGCGUCAUUACAACCCUCAAGCUCAGCUUGGUAUUGGGCCCCGCCGACCCGGCGGGCCCUAAAGUCAGUGGCGGUGCCGUCCGGCUCCGAGCGUAGUAAUUCUUCUCGCUCUGGAGGUCCGGUCGUGUGCUCGCCAGCAACCCCCAAUUUUUUUCAGGUUGACCUCGGAUCAGGUAGGGAUACCCGCUGAACUUAAGCAUAUCAAUAAGCGGAGGA